This 477-nucleotide ribosomal RNA is filed under the name uncultured bacterium. Its description in RNAcentral is "SSU rRNA". It matches the Rfam family "Bacterial small subunit ribosomal RNA", at positions 26 to 523 of the family's 1533-position model. The record is from RNAcentral.
AGGAUGAACGCUGGCGGCGUGUCUAACACAUGCAAGUCGAACGUCCUGUCUCGCAAGAGGCAGGGAGUGGCGGACGGGUGAGUACCACGUGGGUCAUCUACCGUGAGGUGAGGAAUACCGGCGAGAAAUCGCCGACAAGACCGCAUAGCCUCGGUGCAAGCCGAGGAAAGCUUUCUCGAGAGAGGGAGCGCCACACGAGGAGCCUGCGCCCGAUUAGCUAGCUGGUGGAGUAACGGUUCACCAGGGCGACGAUCGGUAGCUGGUCUGAGAGGACGAUCAGCCACACUGGGAUUGAGAACGGCCCAGACUCCUACGGGGGGCAGCAGUGAGGAAUUUUCGUCAAUGGGGGCAACCCUGAACGAGCAACGCCGCGUGCAGGAGAAGGUUUUCGGAUCGUAAACUGCUUUUCUCGGGGAAGAGAACGGACGGUACCCGAGGAAUCAGCCCCGGCUAACUACGUGCCAGCAGCCGCGGUAA